Musa acuminata subsp. malaccensis (wild Malaysian banana) is the source of this 1911-nucleotide RNA transcript. It is a transcript of the gene named CMP-sialic acid transporter 5, with no coding region annotated. NCBI's taxonomy places the organism in Eukaryota, Viridiplantae, Streptophyta, Magnoliopsida, Zingiberales, Musaceae. The record is from RefSeq and is a predicted model, not a curated record.
AAUUGAAGCGAAAGAGACGUGAGUCGAUCCUUCUCUCUCUCGACCUUUGGAUACUGCCCCUCGGUUCCAUUCGACCCUCUCGCCUCGAAUUUUCUGUUCCUCUCCCCUCCUCUGUCGAUAGAAUCGAUCUCGUCUUCGCUCCACUUUGUCGAUCGCCGAACCAAGAACCGUCGGUUCUGCCUGGAGACCAGCGCGUUUGGGAGGAGGGCUCGGUUCGUUCCCGAUUUCGGAGGUUUGGGGGAGAACCGGGCGGUUGGAGAAUGCCUUGAUCGGGUGACGGGCUUUCUUCGUCUGAUCAGGAUUGCAGAUAGCUGCGUUUCAUAAACGGUUGCUGGGUGGGAAGCUUUUUGUUGCUAGGGGAAAGGAUGAUAGAAUGCAAUUUCUGUCACUCCAAAUUUCCGCUUCCAGCAAGUAAAACUGUGUCCAGGGCGUAUGACAACCAUAAGAGCAAGAUAUCCUCAAAACAACGAGCUCUUCAUGUUAUGCUGGUUGUUGGUGAUUGCAUCUUGGUGGGACUCCAGCCCAUCCUGGUCUAUAUGUCUAAGGUGGAUGGGAGCUUCAAAUUUAGUCCCAUCAGUGUUAAUUUUCUGACUGAGGGUACAAAAGUUCUCUUUGCCAUUAUGAUGCUGUUGUUCCAGUCUAGGCGACAAAAAGUGGGAGAAAGGCCUCUUCUCUCUGUAUCUAAUUUUGUGCAGGCAGCUCGAAACAAUAUUCUACUGGCUGUUCCUGCCUUUCUUUAUGCCAUCAACAAUUACCUGAAAUUUAUAAUGCAGUUAUACUUCAACCCUGCUACUGUUAAAAUGUUGAGCAACCUUAAGGUUUUGGUAAUUGCUGUUCUUUUAAAGACCAUAAUGAGAAGACGCUUUUCCAUUAUCCAGUGGGAGGCUCUUGCACUGCUGCUCAUUGGAAUCAGUGUUAAUCAGCUUAGAUCCUUGCCUGAGGGUACCACAGCGCUUGGUCUUCCUGUUGCAACUGGUGCAUACAUGUAUACACUGAUUUUUGUAACUGUACCUUCACUAGCCUCAGUCUAUAAUGAGUAUGCUUUAAAAAGCCAAUUUGAGACGAGCAUAUAUCUUCAGAACUUAUUUUUAUAUGGCUAUGGUGCUAUAUUUAACUUUAUAGCAAUCAUCGGUAUUGCUGUCCUCAAAGGGACAAGUAGUUUUCACAUACUUGAAGGACACUCAAAGGCCACAAUGUUUCUCAUUUGCAACAAUGCUGCACAGGGAAUACUCUCGUCCUUCUUUUUUAAAUAUGCAGACACAAUUCUGAAAAAAUAUUCAUCGACAGUUGCCACUAUCUUUACUGGCAUAGCAUCUGCUGCAUUAUUUGGUCACACUCUCACUAUGAACUUUGUAUUGGGCAUUUCAAUAGUGUUCAUAUCGAUGCACCAGUUCUUUUCUCCACUUGCAAAAGUCAAAGAUGAAACUCCAAAUGGAGAUCUAGAGAUGAGGGAUGCCCAAGAUUACAGAUCCAAGGAAACAUCUUUCAUAGAUAUGGCUGCUGGUGCAACAGAGGAUGCUAGCCACCACUCUGGACCUGAUGAGAAACAACCACUUCUCCCCACAUAAAUUUUCUUGCAAGACGUCAGAAGAAUAUUCUUUGACUGGUCACAAGAAAAAGAUAAGCCAGUCCUAACUACAAUAAAUAGAGCAGUUUGCUGCAGACUCCGACCGAACACAAGGUAUAUAGCUAGCGGCUGUAGAAGACUCGUGUUUUCAGAUUGAUGAAGAGCAUGAAAAGCCUUGAAGCUCAGCUACCCAUGAGGAGAUCCAUCAUGAGGCAGCAGCAUGAAGAACAGGCACAACCUCCAUGCAUAUUAUGACAAAUGAAUUGGCAAGAUCCAAUGUGAAACAGAUCAGUCACAACUUGGGACCAUAAUUCAACCAAAAGACAAUCAUUGAGAAGUCUUCU